This 257-nucleotide ribosomal RNA is filed under the name uncultured prokaryote. Its description in RNAcentral is "partial 16S ribosomal RNA". It matches the Rfam family "Bacterial small subunit ribosomal RNA", at positions 524 to 780 of the family's 1533-position model. The record is from RNAcentral.
UACGGAGGAUGCGAGCGUUAUCCGGAUUUAUUGGGUUUAAAGGGUGCGUAGGCGGCUUUUUAAGUCAGCGGUGAAAUUUUGCAGCUUAACUGUAACAGUGCCGUUGAUACUGGGGAGCUAGGAUUUGGUUGCUGUGGGUGGAAUGUGUGGUGUAGCGGUGAAAUGCUUAGAGAUCACACAGAAUAUCGAUUGCGAAGGCAGCUCACAAAGCCAAGAUUGACGCUGAGGCACGAAAGCGUGGGGAGCAAACAGGAUUA